AAUCAACGCUGGCGGCGUGCCUCAGACAUGCAAGUCGAACGCGAAAAGUCCCCUUCGGGGGAGUGAUUAGAGUGGCGCACGGGUGAGUAACACGUAGGUAAUCUACCUUCGAGUGGGGAAGUAAACUCAGGGAAACGUUGAGCUAAUACCGCAUAAUGCAGCGGCACCACAUGGUGACAGUUGUUAAAGCAUUUAUGCGCUUGAAGAGGAGCCUGCGGCGGAUUAGCUAGUUGGUAAGGUAAUGGCUUACCAAGGCUACGAUCUGUAACCGGCCUGAGAGGCGGACGGUCACACUGACACUGAAU
RNAcentral lists this ribosomal RNA (305 nucleotides) under uncultured bacterium. RNAcentral's name for it is "bacterial SSU rRNA". It matches the Rfam family "Bacterial small subunit ribosomal RNA", at positions 32 to 324 of the family's 1533-position model. The record is from RNAcentral.